AAGCAUAUCAAUAAGCGGAGGAAAAGAAACCAACAGGGAUUGCCCUAGUAACGGCGAGUGAAGCGGCAACAGCUCAAAUUUGAAAUCUGGCUUCGGCCCGAGUUGUAAUUUGCAGAGGAAGCUUCCGGCGCGGCACCUCCUGAGUCCCCUGGAACGGGGCGCCACAGAGGGUGAGAGCCCCGUAUAGUUGGAUGCCCAGCCCGUGUGAAGCUCCUUCGACGAGUCGAGUAGUUUGGGAAUGCUGCUCAAAAUGGGAGGUAAAUUUCUUCUAAAGCUAAAUACCGGCCAGAGACCGAUAGCGCACAAGUAGAGUGAUCGAAAGAUGAAAAGCACUUUGAAAAGAGGGUUAAAUAGCACGUGAAAUUGUUGAAAGGGAAGCGCUUGUGACCAGACUUGCGCCGGGCUGAUCAUCCGGUGUUCUCACCGGUGCACUCUGCCCGGCUCAGGCCAGCAUCGGUUCCCGCGGGGGGACAAAGGCCCUGGGAACGUAGCUCCUCCGGGAGUGUUAUAGCCCGGGGCGUAAUGCCCUCGC
RNAcentral lists this small RNA (532 nucleotides) under Chaetomium sp. 1 MK-2015. RNAcentral's name for it is "eukaryotic LSU rRNA". It matches the Rfam family "Eukaryotic large subunit ribosomal RNA", at positions 36 to 580 of the family's 3401-position model. The record is from RNAcentral. Lineage: Eukaryota; Fungi; Ascomycota; Sordariomycetes; Sordariales; Chaetomiaceae.